Molecule: transfer RNA, 63 nt
Filed under: Dipetalogaster maximus
Lineage: Eukaryota; Metazoa; Arthropoda; Insecta; Hemiptera; Reduviidae
Description: tRNA-Arg
Source: RNAcentral
AGUAGUGAAGUAAAAAUUACAUUUAGUUUCGACCUAAAAAUAAGAGGCUUCUCCUCCUUACUU